This is an unclassified non-coding RNA of Vespa mandarinia (Asian giant hornet), 6895 nucleotides long. NCBI's taxonomy places the organism in Eukaryota, Metazoa, Arthropoda, Insecta, Hymenoptera, Vespidae. The record is from RefSeq and is a predicted model, not a curated record.
UAUAUAUGUAUAUAUGUAUAUAUAUAAGAUUGGACACAUACAACGAACACAUACAUUAUCUUCGUCCAAUUCUUCGUUUUCCACGUCGUUAAAUUUUUCUUCAACACAGAAGAAGAACAACGCGGAAUUAAAGAGAUCCGGAGGAACGACGAUCUGGCCGCGUGGCCAGCCAGCCAGCCAGCAUUCUCUCUCCUACGCAUCUUCUACUUCACCAGGUGUCCUCGGACUACUGCUCGCCUUCGAUAAGCGAUGGAGGAUCGCGACGAUAAUCCCGGGACAUCAUCAAGAAUAAGAUCCACCGAGAGUAUGAUUGCUCUCGCACGCUAAAAGGAGGAUGCGCACGAACAGAGAGAAAGAGAGAAAGAGAGAGGAAGAGAGGGGGAGAGAGAGAGAUAGAGAGAGAGAGAGAGGGAGAAAGAAAGAUACAUCAUUGGACGUAAAAUCGAUCUGAUGUAUCACUAAUGAACGGGCAACCUGAAGGGGGUUUUAUAAUCAAACCUGAAAGGAACUCAUAGAGGUUCUCUUAUUCUAUCUAAGGUUUUCGAAAGGAGAAGAAGAAGAAGAAGAAGAAGUAGAAGAAGAAGAAGUGCAAAAAAGAAAGGAAGGGAGAGAUAAAGAGAGAGAGAGAGGGAGAGAGAGAGAGAGAGAGACAGAGAGAGAGAGAGAGAGAGAAGAUUGAAGAAAAGACGAUGGAACUGUAUCAAGAGGAACAGCAACAACAGGAACGACUGCAGAAGCAGCGUCACCAGCGACAGCUGGUAAUAGAGACAAAGUUCGUUGACGUAAAGCCGAUUAAGUAUCGCGUCGUUCGUGCGAGAAUUGUACUGUGAUCGGCUUGAUAGACCUGUUACUAAAAAAUCGAAAGAGAUAGAUAGAUAGAUAGAGCGAGAAAGAGAGAGAGAGAGAGAGAGAGAGAGAGAGAGAGAGGGAGGGAGAGGGAGAUAUAUAUAUAUAUAUAUAAAUAUAAAGAGAGAUAAAAGAUAGGUCGAAGAGAGUUAGAAAAACGGCUGGACGAUGCAUCACAGUGGAGGUGUUGGUUACGGCAGUGGCCCUCAGGAACGAGUACAUCAGGUGCCUCGUACUGGUACCCAAACCGACAAGUAUCCUUUCGAAGGUUAUCAAGGACAGAUACCGGAUUGCUGUGCCGCGGCUGCGGCUGUCCAGGAUCCCUAUCCUAGACCGCCGAGCGGUUACGAUGGCAGGUGCUACGAUGAAUAUCAUCGUACUACGCCUUAUCAGGACGAUUCCUAUUCUCAGGAUGUGCCCCCAACCUUCCAUCGACCCCAGUCCAGACUGGGAUACGAGGAAUGUCCACAAUCUCGCGUGGGAUAUACCUCGGAUUCCAGGUGUGCCAGUGGACUUGGGUACGAUGACACGGGCGGGGGUUACCUGGAUCAGACUGACCCAAGGAUGUAUUGCACCGGCGGUUAUUGCAUGGGGGAUACGAUGAUGGCCACUAGCAGAGGUGUCUGCGGCGAGGAAGUUGAACUUGACAUGCGGAGGCAUAUUCAAGCUUGUGCCUGCACCUGUAAUCAUAUGGGAUACGGAAAUUACAUGGACUAUCAGACUACGUGCCUAACACAACUGCCAGACGUGGCACCGUGCAAUGGCACCGUGCGACUACCACCACCGUGCGAGGACUCGCCAAGUAGUGGAAGCAGCAAGGAUCGCAUGGAUGAGAGUCCUCGUAGAAGAUGCCGAGUCUUAACGCCUAUCCUUCUUCUGAUAGCGGCAUUGCUUCUUGGUGGUUUAUGCUUACCACUCCUGUUACAAUCCGUACCUGUCACGCAUCAGCAGAGACUGGACGUGAUAAGAAGGAUUCUCACUGAAGUGCCUCUAAUCGAUGGGCAUAACGAUUUGCCCUGGAACGUGAGAAAGUUCGUACAUAAUCAACUGGGCGAGGUUAACUUGAGUAGCGAUCUCGGUAGAGUGGACCCUUGGGCCAGAUCGGAUUGGAGUCAUACAGAUAUUCCUAGAUUGCGCGCUGGCCUCGUUGGUGCACAGUUUUGGUCCGCCUACGUUCCCUGUGAUGCGGCACAGCUAAACGCAGUUCAACUUUCUCUAGAACAAAUCGACGUAAUUCGUCGGCUCGCCGAGAUGAAUGCUCAACACUUAACUCUGGUUACUUCUGUCAAGGGCCUGAUCGAGGCACAUCGCGAUGGAAAAAUUGCAAGUCUGAUAGGAGUUGAAGGUGGUCAUUCUCUUGGGAACUCCUUGGGCGUUCUCAGAACGUUUUAUGGCCUGGGGGCACGAUAUCUUACUUUGACACAUGCUUGUGACACUUCCUGGGCAGUAUGUUCAGUUGGCGAAACGAAUAACACUCAAGAUGAGACACCUGGGCUCAGCGAAUUUGGAAAGGCGGUGGUAAGGGAAUUGAAUAGGUUGGGCAUGCUGGUGGAUCUCUCUCAUGUUUCCACAAGGACGAUGAGAGCAGCACUGCAAACGACCAGGGCACCAGUGAUUUUCUCUCACAGUGCGGCAAGGGCACUCUGUAAUUCCAGUAGAAAUGUACCGGACGACGUACUCAGGAAUCUAGCAAAAAAUGGUGGAGUAGCGAUGGUUCCGUUUUAUACGUAUUUCAUAACGUGCAACAACACCGCCACCAUUAAGGAUGUUAUUGCACUCCUACUGGCCUGGAAGAUGUAUCAAGAUACCCUCAAUUACUGGCGACGCUGUUAGAGGAUCCAUCGUGGACCGAAGAAGACAUCAAAAAAUUAGCUGGCCUCAAUUUACUAAGGGUAUUCGCUAAAGUCGAACAGGUACGCGAUGAAUGGCACAGAGCUGCGGUUUUACCAGUGGAUAAAAUUAGUCCACCAGAUAAUUCGGCCUGUGCAUACGGAGCAUCCUGAUCCUCUUCCUUACGUGCGUUGACAUCAGGAUAUUUGGAGUUCAUACGAUCGUCGAAAAUACGACAUGCCUUGCGCUUCUAUAAGACCUAUUAAGAAGUGCAAACAUAAGGGAAGAAAAGAAAAGAAAAGAAAAGGAAAGAAAAGAAAAGAAAAGAAAAGAAAAGAAACCGAGAGUUUGUUCCUUUAUGAAAAAAAAAGAAACACAAAAAAAAACAAAAAAAAAAAAAACUCCUUCCUGGUCUUCCAAAGACCCUAUCGCGCCUUAAUGGAAAAAAAAAAAGAAAGAUUGAUGGUUAUUACAUAAUCUGGGAAAAAAAAAAACGAACACCUUCAGAACAUGUACGUUUCCUCUGUCAACGACUAUCUCUUUCUAUUUCCUCUAACUAAAAUAUAAUACGACGAAUAUAUAGUGAGAUUUUAUUUUAAUUUUCAUCAAUUUUCAUGUGUGAGUUAUCUUCUUUUAUAUAUACAUAUAAAUAUACAUACGUAUACAUUUAAAUCACGUAGAAAAUUCUUCUAACAAAAUGCUCACACAUUUGAUAACAUUUUAUUAAUACGUUCUGAAGGUGUAUUAUAUACAUGUGUAUAUGCAUGCAAGGAUCAAUGUCCUUUCGUGAAUGACUUCCAUAGAUGCGGACAAUCGACAAUGACAGAAUCACUUUUUUUUUUUGAGAGAGAGAAAGAGAAAGAGAGAGAGAGAGAGAGAGAGAGAGAGAGAGAGAGAGAGAAAGAGAGAGAAAUGAACCAGCGCCAGGCCCGGCGAUUUUAAAAAGAGUCUGAGACUAAUGAUUUUUUUAUACUUUUAUCUUCGAGUAAGUAAUCCAAUAAGCUCUGCGACGAUGAGAAUCUAAUCUACAUGUAAUUGGUAGGAUACACGCGAUAUAUUCGAUUUCUGUGCGUAAGGAAUUUUACGAAAAAUCAAUUCGAACGUAAAUCAAUUUGUAUAUAUAUAUAUAUAUAUAUAGAUAUAUAUAUAUACCUACGUAUUGCAAUAAGAAGAAAGAAUUUAUUUGUAAUAUUUGUCAAAGUUAACUUCUUCUUCAUUUUUCUACUGCCGGGAAGGAUCAUUAGAGAUACCAUUAAUACGUGCAAUACAAGGUACAAAGUUUGACCAGUUGACACACAAUUUAUUAAAUAUACGUCGAAUGAUCGAAGUUGAACCAAAAGAAAAAAAAAAAGAAAAAAAAGAAAAAAGAAAAAAAAAAGAAAAUAAGCAAGAAAAAAGAAGGUAAGAAAAGAAAUAAGAAAGAAUAUAAAUUAAAUGCUUUUAAUAUUAAGUUCGAGGCAACAGUGGAAAAUCGUUAUCACAUAUCUUAAUAAUUUAACAUUUGGCUUCCAUUGUGCUUCUAAUUCUUUAAUCAGUAUUCCAAAAGUCUGGUAUUAAGAAGCUCACGUUUACCUUCGAGCAUAACCAUUAGCAUGAAUUAAUCGAUCGGAUUAUAUUGAAAGGUACAUAGUGAAGAAACAAUUUUAUAAUUAGAAAAAUAAAUUCUAAUGACUCGCUUCUGUUAGUGAAAGAAAACAAUAAGAAAGAAAAAAAAAAGGAAAAAAGAAAAAACGAAAAAAGAAAGAAAGAAAAAAAUGUCUAAUUCUAUCCAUGUAGGUAUGUUAGCUUUACCUUUGAAAAAAAUUACUUUAACAGACUAGUAUAAUGAAGAUCGACCUAUUAACGUCAUCAUCAACAUUAAACACUGCCGAGCCGCACCAUUCAUUCUAUAAUAAUAUCCUUCAAAAUAUCAACAUCAUUCGAAAUAAACUAUUAAUAAAUUAACGUACCAACAGUUUUGAAGCUAGCAAUAAAUAUUUAAUUUCGUGCCAAUGAAGAAGAAAAAAAAAGAAAAGAGAAAAAUGGUCGCGGCGUUUGAAAUGUUUCUAAUACGUCUUGUAUAAUAAAACUACAACCUACGCACUUUCAUACGCAUAAAUCAUACGUAACUUAAUAAUAUCGAGUGAGAUAAACGAUUAAGUAUUCUAAUUUCUUAUAAUUAAAUUUUGAAACUUAUUACGUUCGUAUCCAAUUGUUUAUUUUAUAAUAAUAUGUCAUUUAUAUGUUUUUAUUGUAAAUAAUCCUAUGUAAAAUUAGAGAAGAAAUAUAUUUCACAUUUUAUUACUGAACCAUUUAAAAGAAAAAAAAAAAAAAAAAAGAAACAAAAAAAAAACAAAAAAAAGAAAAAGAAAGAAAAAUAAGACGAUAACUUAAUCGUUUAUUGUAACUUUUGCAAAAUAGUAUGCAUGAAUAAUCGAUAAGAGUCGGUAAUGAUAAAUAUGUAUUAUGUGAGUAGAGAAAAGAAUCGGAAGGAUUAAUGCUAUAUACAAUGUGUAUGUGUAUGUAUGUGUGUAUAUGUGUGUGUGUGUAUAUAUAUAUAUAUAUGUAUAUAUAUAUAUAUGUAUAUAUAUACAUACGUAUACACAUAUUAUACUUACGUAUGUAUGAGAAUGUAAUUAACAUUUCAUUUACAUGACAUUUUGUCAUUUAAAAUGUCAAACAUACCAAUAAUGCAUGAGAACCUUAUACGAGUCUGGAAGUAUAUUUUACUGUUUAUAAAGCGCCUUUUUUUUAUUCGAAAAAGAAUGUUUUCAAGAUGACCUUAACGAAAUAUCACGAUAAUAUUAUAAAGAAGGCGUUCGAGAACAUAUUUACACAUAUAAAUGAAAGAUAAAUAACAACAAAAAUGAAAUGAAAAGAAAUGGAAAAUAGAACACAAAUAAUAAUGAGAUCAUGUAUAGCCUAGACCCUAGUCUGUCAUAGCUUUUACGAUAUUUCCACUUUUCUUACUUUUUUGGAUAAAGCACACGGUUCGUUGCGCGUGCGAGGUAUUUUGUAUUAGGUACCUAUAUUCAAUACUAUUUUUUCUCUAUACAGUAUAUCAUAUUGAAAUUAGAACUUACUCGAUUAUCUUGAAUAAUCGAAAAUAUGUAGUGAAAGAGAAGAAAAAAAAAACAAAAAAAAAAAAGAAAAAAAAAAAAAAAAAAAAAGAAAUAGAAAAAGAAAAAGAAACACAUAUUUCUUUUCAUCGAGUUUAAUGAUUAUUAAAAUUGUAUAUGAAUCGAGUGGGAUAUAAUUCCAAUAGAGAUAUUCUGUAUAGAUGAAAGAGAAAAGGAAAAAAGCUAUGCGCCUUCAACGACUCGUAACAAAAAAAGAAAGAAGAAAAAAAAAAGAACAAAAAAGAAAACAAAAAAAAAGGGAAAAAAUAAGAGAGAAAAAGAAAAAAAAGAGAGACACACGUUUUAUGAAGUUUUGACAUGAUGAAACUUGAUCGAUCGACGGGAUAUAUUGGAUAAACAAUUUUGAUAAACCGACGAGAUAUUACAAUUUUGUCAGAACUGUAAGUACCUACCAUUAAAUCACGCGCGAUUUAUAAGAAACGUAUUGUUCACUAUUUUCUUGCAAAAAAAUUAGAGAAUUUCGGAAACGAUUAAACUGUAGUAAGUACACUUUUCUCUCGAAGUAUAGAUAACAAGUAAAAAAAAAAAAAAAAGAAAAAAAAAAAGGAAAGGAAAAAAAAGAGAAGAAGCAAAAAAGGAAAAGGAGGAAAAAAGAAAGAAAGAAAGAAAGAAAGAAAUAAAAGAAAAAGAAAAUGAGGACGAAGACGGUAGAGAAAAAUGAUGAUGAUGAUGAUGAUGAUGAUGAUGAUGAUGAUGAUGAUGAUGAUGAUGAUGAUGAAAAUGAGAAAAAUGAAAAGACAGAAUAAAAGGCUUGGCAUUUCCUUAAGGCUGAUAAAAAAAAAUAAAUAAUAUUUAACACGGACACGAUGAAAGGCAAAGAGUUAAUUGCAAUUGACGAUAAAUUUCUUAGUAAAAAUGCAAACGCAGACAGAUUAACAUUAGCAGCAGCAAUAAAGUGCACGCAAACGUAGUCGACAAUUAAUAGCAUAAAAUAUUGAACGAUUUAUAAUUCGUAAAGGAUAAGUCUAAAUAAAAUAAAUAUUAAUGCAAUCAAGAUAUAUCAGACGUCGUCCUUUCGACGUGAUAAAAGAAGAAGAAAAAAAAAAGAAGAAAAAAAUAGGAGACGAAGAAGAAGAAGAAGAAGAAGAAGAAGAAGAAGA